AGUAAGUCAGAUAAUCGCUGGUGCUCAUUUGAGGCACGAGAGGAAAGUCCGGGCUCCGCAGAGCAAGGUGCCAGCUAACGGCUGGUGGAGGUAACUCUAAGGAAAGUGCAACAGAAAUAAACCGCCAAUUUUAUUGGCAAGGAUGGAAAGGCAGGGUAAGAGCCUACCAGUAGCAUGGAGACAUGCUAGCUAUGUAAACCCCACCUGGAGCAACGUUUCGAAGGAUUAAGGCUGCUCGUCGACCUUUGAUUGUACGGCUUGAGGCAUAUAGCGAUAUAUGUCCUAGAUAAAUGAUUAUCUAAUACAGAACCCGGCUUACAGAUUUGCUUUU
This 331-nucleotide RNase P RNA is filed under the name human gut metagenome. Its description in RNAcentral is "Bacterial RNase P class A". It matches the Rfam family "Bacterial RNase P class A". Rfam says of the family: Ribonuclease P (RNase P) is a ubiquitous endoribonuclease, found in archaea, bacteria and eukarya as well as chloroplasts and mitochondria. The record is from RNAcentral.